RNAcentral lists this ribosomal RNA (500 nucleotides) under uncultured Sphingobacteriales bacterium. RNAcentral's name for it is "bacterial SSU rRNA". It matches the Rfam family "Bacterial small subunit ribosomal RNA", at positions 903 to 1382 of the family's 1533-position model. The record is from RNAcentral. Lineage: Bacteria; Pseudomonadati; Bacteroidota; Sphingobacteriia; Sphingobacteriales.
CGCCCGCUCAGAAACUUAAAUAGAAUUGACGGGGGCCCGCGACAAGCGGUGGAGCAUGUGGUUUAAUUCGAUGAUACGCGAGGAACCUUACCUGGGCUCAAAUGUAUGUUGACGUAUUCUGAAAGGGAUACUUCUUCGGACAAUAUACAAGGUGCUGCAUGGUUGUCGUCAGCUCGUGCCGUGAGGUGUCGGGUUAAGUCCCAUAACGAGCGCAACCCCUAUCAUUAGUUGCCAUCAGGUCAAGCUGGGGACUCUAAUGAAACUGCCUACGCAAGUAGUGAGGAAGGUGGGGAUGACGUCAAAUCAGCACGGCCCUUACGUCCAGGGCUACACACGUGCUACAAUGGCCGAUACAGAGGGCAGCUACCUGGUGACAGGAUGCAAAUCUACCAAAGUCGGUCUCAGUUCGGAUCGGAGUCUGCAACCCGACUCCGUGAAGUUGGAUUCGCUAGUAAUCGCGCAUCCUAGCCAUCGGCGCGGUGAAUAACGUUCCGGUCCUU